RNAcentral lists this unclassified non-coding RNA (1883 nucleotides) under uncultured fungus. RNAcentral describes it as "sequence contains 18S rRNA gene, ITS1, 5.8S rRNA gene, ITS2, 28S rRNA gene". The stretch from base 693 to 1883 matches the Rfam family "Eukaryotic large subunit ribosomal RNA", at positions 1 to 961 of the family's 3401-position model. The record is from RNAcentral. Lineage: Eukaryota; Fungi.
GGAAGGAUCAUCAUAGGAUUUAGAUAGCCUGGGCUCUCCACAGUUGGCUUGAACAGAGCUUGGCUGUGGGGGACCCAUCCUACCCAUUCCCAGCAAAUGUUUUUUUGAGGGAGCUUGGUUGACUGAGCAAUAAUGCGAGGACAUGUGGGGAGAAAAGAGCAAACAACUUUCAACAACGGAUCUCUUGGCUCUCACAUCGAUGAAGAACGUAGCAAAGUGCGAAAAGUAGUGUGAAUUGCAGAAUUCCGUGAAUCAUCGAGUGUUUGAACGCAUCUUGCGCUCCCCGGCAUUCUGGGGAGCAUGUCUGUUUGAGUAUCGUGAACACAGCUCUAGUCAGCCCUGGGCAUGGUGUGCUCUCAUGCAUACACGCCCACGGGGCUGGAGAUUGAGUGUCUUGCAUACCUUGUCACUUGGACACGGUUCACUCGAAAUGGAGUGGCUUGGGAGGGUGGGCUGCCACAGCGUCGGUGGCCCCCUUGAUCGCGACUGGUGUAGAGCUUUUGGCUUGGCGUUGAGGGCCUCGACAGUCUGCGCACCAAGGGGGGAGCCGGGGCGGUAAACGUGGCAACCAUCAUCACGGGUGUGUGCUUUGGUGCGGGACAACCCGUCCCAGUUCCAACAGCAACGCACGGUGGCCCAGCCAGACAGCAACCGGGAUGUGUGCUUGCCUGGAUUGGCAGGCUUUUCAAAGGCGAUCUCAAAUCAGACAAGACGACCCGCUGAAUUUAAGCAUAUAACUAAGCGGAGGAAAAGAAACUAACCAGGAUUCCCCCAGUAACGGCGAGUGAAGCGGGAACAGCUCAACUUUGGAAUCAGCCAGCGGGGUCACAGCCCUGGCCGAAUUGUAGUUUCAAGAAGGAGAUGUUGAGGACACGGCGCGGGCUGGCGCAAGUUCUUUGGAACGAGACAUCACAGAGGGUGACAAUCCCGUGCAUGGCCAGCGCGCGCGCAGUCCGGCAAAGACACUCCUUUCCAAGAGUCGGGUUGUUUGGGAGUGCAGCCCAAAGCGGGUGGUAAACUUCAUCCAAGGCUAAAUAGCGGUGAGAGACCGAUAGCGAACAAGUACCGUGAGGGAAAGGUGAAAAGCACUCUGAAGAGAGAGUGAAAAGCACGUGAAAUUGUUGAAAGGGAAACGCUUGAAACCAGUCGAGGCUGGCCUUGGUCGGUGGGCCUGCACUGGGGCGCAGCCGCGUCUCUGGAGCACGGCCCACGCCACGACCACGGGCCGGCAUGUCAACAUCAGUUUGGGGAGCAAUGUGGGAAAAGGCCGGCAAGACCUGUUGGUUGGCUGGCCGACCCUUGUGGCGACCAGCCAAGCUUGCCCGGCAUAUACCACAAGACCAGACUGAGGACAGCGGGCCGGGCUGUAUGUGGACCUGGGUUAGACGCGGCGUCGGCAGGGUGCGGCGCGAGACAGCAUCGCUCGACUCGCGCCCACACCAGCGUGGCGGCGCGUCAUGCCAGGGCCCGCUGGCAUUCGCACUUUUGUGGUGGCGGCGACAGCACACGGCGCUCGGAUGUUGACGAAAUGGUUCCAAACGACCCGUCUUGAAACACGGACCAAGGAGUCUAACAUGCAUGCGAGUAUUUGGGUGGGCUAAACCCAGAUGCGCAAUGAAAGUGAGCUUGUACAAGAGGUGGGACGUGCUUGUGGUUUGCACAGCGCACCGCACCAUCGACCGGUCUCGCAAUGGCCCCGGCCUGAGAGAACCGAGUGCGAGCCAUGCAUGCUGGGACCCGAAAGAUGGUGAACUAUGCCUGAAUAGGGUGAAGUCAGACGAAAGUCUGAUGGAGGCUCGCAGCGAUUCUGACGUGCAAAUCGAUCGUCGAAUUUGGGCAUAGGGGCGAAAGACUAAUCGAACCAUCUAGUAGCUGGUUCCUGC